UGUUCUUCAAGUUUAUGUUGUGUUUCGACCAGUUGCACAUAUUUCGUUAUAAAGUCUAAUACUUUAUUGCUACAAAUUUUCAUAUCGUAUUGUAAGAAAGAAAACAACAAUAAAUGAUGUUAUUUUCAGAUAAUUUGUAACAGAUGAGAAAAGAAACAGGCUUAAUCUUUUUCAAUAGCAAAUAGGUUUGGCUGCUAUAGAUAAGUGAUAAAUUAUAAAAAUGAGGGACAUGAAUGUAUAUUCUUUUUCAGGAGAUAAUAGUAUAUCUAUUAUUUUUCUUGAAUUUCGUGUCGGCGCAAGCGCAAGUCGCUUGUAGAUUUACUGUAUGGGGAGAAGGGUUCAGUAUUAUGUAGACAGUCAACGGGUGCACAACAGACAGUUAAGAUAAUAUUCAUAAUGUUAUGGUAUAAUAUACAAUAAUCUGAUAGAAAUAUGAGUGAAGUAAAACAGUUAGAAUUUAAAAGUAAAAUUCAAAAACAGUUUAAAAAAAUUGAGUUUGAUUAAAAGGUUGGAAAAUAGACAUUCUAAAUAGACACACGCACACGCAUGGAGAGAGGGAGAGAGAGAGAAAGAGAGAGAGAGGGGGGAGAGGCUCAAAAUUUAAAGUUCAACUUUUCAGCCAGACAUGGUUUCUGACUUAUUCUUGAGCGGAAGGAAAUAAAUGAUGGGAUAUAGAGGCCAACUUACCGUGUUUAAUUGGCCACAAAAUGAACAAUAUUGUACGAUAUAUAAACAACCUGGUGUGGCAUGUGAAAGUACUAUAAUAAAGAGAUCCAGGUUAAAUUGAAAUGUAAGAAAUGAUGUUAACUGAAAGUGAUAAAAAUAUCAGAAAUCAUACGCCUUCAUAGGUUUGCACACUUUUUCUGAAUGUAUAAAUUUUGUAAUAAAAUAUAAUGUAUUCAAUUUAAAUAGAAUUAUUAAUAUGUUUAUUUUAAAUGUUCUUAUAAUAGAUUUGUAUUAUUAAAAAUAAUGUUUAGCUAGAUUUUUCUAAAGUUAAUUCAAGCUUACGAGACUUAGGUUUUGAUUAAUGCUAACGUAGGUCGACGAAUUUAUACAAGACUAAACAAUAUAAGUAGUACAUGACGUCUUAAAAAGCAUAUUACUACCUGAAAAAACACAAAAGAUCCCAUUAUAGCAAAAUGGAAGAUAUGAUUAAUUAUCAUAAACUUCGAUUGUUGGUAUGGCCACAAAUUGAUCGCCGCGAGAAAUAUCUGAUUUAAUCUAUAAUAAUGAUUCUCGGCGAAGUUUGUUUCCUCGCGCUUCAAGAACAUAUUUUUAAAAAAGGGUUGACACACCGUAUGGUACGUUUUCCAGUAGAAUGAUGUAACUGUUUCCGAUCCUCGCCGGAUGUGUUUUAUAAAAUAUUGUCAUUAGCAUUCAUGGUACCGCGCCAAGUUAGGGACGGUCAUCGAUUGGUCGCAGUUGCGUUUUCACACCGAAGGAAACGACAGAAAGUCAAAUUAUUGAAAUUGCACGUUUGUUUGUCCGAUGUUGUUUUCUCACAGCAAGGGUGAAAUAAUAUCAUCCGUUUUCUUUAACUUUACCGCAGGCGCAGGCGCAAUUACAGGUUUCCAAAAUGCUUCUUGUGCGACACUCUCAUAGUUGUUCGAGACGUCAAACGUUGCAUUACGAAUUGCUCUGUUACGCGAGUGUUUUUUUAUUAUGUGCCACGUAAAAAUUCAUAUUUUGUUUUAUUUAGUUAUAAAUAUAUUAAUGCAAAAAUGUAUAAUUUCAUAGAACCACAGAAGUAAAAAAAAAAAUAAUAUAAAGAAAAAAGAAAUAAAUUCAAAUUAAAGAAGAAGAACAUAAUAAGUUUGUUUAACUCUAGAGUGCUAUUGUAGAAUAUCGACUUCUUCAAGAAUCUCGUGUAAUUCUCUACAAUGAGCUACUAAGUGCUGUAUCGCAUUCUAUGUGGUCAUCGUGUGGAGUAAAUCAUUGUGAAGUUCAUGCACUCAGAUAAGGUUACUGUGGGAGACAAUCG
RNAcentral lists this long non-coding RNA (1981 nucleotides) under Monomorium pharaonis (pharaoh ant). Its description in RNAcentral is "uncharacterized LOC118644355". The record is from RNAcentral. Lineage: Eukaryota; Metazoa; Arthropoda; Insecta; Hymenoptera; Formicidae.